This 297-nucleotide ribosomal RNA is filed under the name Bacillus sp. B9(2010). RNAcentral's name for it is "partial 16S ribosomal RNA". It matches the Rfam family "Bacterial small subunit ribosomal RNA", at positions 547 to 843 of the family's 1533-position model. Lineage: Bacteria; Bacillati; Bacillota; Bacilli; Caryophanales; Bacillaceae. The record is from RNAcentral.
GGAAUUAUUGGGCGUAAAGGGCUCGCAGGCGGUUUCUUAAGUCUGAUGUGAAAGCCCCCGGCUCAACCGGGGAGGGUCAUUGGAAACUGGGAAACUUGAGUGCAGAAGAGGAGAGGGAAUUCCACGUGUAGCGGUGAAAUGCGUAGAGAUGUGGAGGAACACCAGUGGCGAAGGCGACUCUCUGGUCUGUAACUGACGCUGAGGAGCGAAAGCGUGGGGAGCGAACAGGAUUAGAUACCCUGGUAGUCCACGCCGUAAACGAUGAGUGCUAAGUGUUAGGGGGUUUCCGCCCCUUAG